RNAcentral lists this transfer RNA (74 nucleotides) under Plantimonas leprariae. Its description in RNAcentral is "Aureimonas leprariae tRNA". It matches the Rfam family "tRNA". From Rfam's summary of the family: Transfer RNA (tRNA) molecules are approximately 80 nucleotides in length. Their secondary structure includes four short double-helical elements and three loops (D, anti-codon, and T loops). Lineage: Bacteria; Pseudomonadati; Pseudomonadota; Alphaproteobacteria; Hyphomicrobiales; Aurantimonadaceae. The record is from Rfam by way of RNAcentral. RNAcentral also lists the same sequence under 1 other name.
GGUCCCGUAGCUCAGCAGGAUAGAGCAUCAGAUUCCUAAUCUGAGGGUCGCGCGUUCGAAUCGCGCCGGGAUCA